This 253-nucleotide ribosomal RNA is filed under the name uncultured bacterium. Its description in RNAcentral is "partial 16S ribosomal RNA". It matches the Rfam family "Bacterial small subunit ribosomal RNA", at positions 524 to 776 of the family's 1533-position model. The record is from RNAcentral.
UCCGGGGGGGGCAAGCGUUGUUCGGAAUUACUGGGCGUAAAGGGUUCGUAGGUGGCUUGUUAAGUCAGACGUGAAAUCCCUCGGCUCAACCGGGGAACUGCGUCUGAGACUGAUGAGCUCGAGUGCAGGAGAGGAACGCGGAAUUCCAGGUGUAGCGGUGAAAUGCGUAGAUAUCUGGAGGAACACCGGUGGCGAAGGCGGCGUCCUGGACUGCAACUGACACUGAGGAACGAAAGCCAGGGGAGCAAACGGG